RNAcentral lists this non-coding RNA (190 nucleotides) under Thermoactinomyces vulgaris. RNAcentral describes it as "Lysine sequence". It matches the Rfam family "Lysine riboswitch aptamer". Rfam says of the family: Riboswitches are metabolite binding domains within certain messenger RNAs that serve as precision sensors for their corresponding targets. Allosteric rearrangement of mRNA structure is mediated by ligand binding, and this results in modulation of gene expression. RNAcentral also lists the same sequence under 1 other name. The record is from RNAcentral. Lineage: Bacteria; Bacillati; Bacillota; Bacilli; Caryophanales; Thermoactinomycetaceae.
UGAUGAGGUAGAGGUUGCGACUUUUAUUAGUACAUGACCUGAGAUCCAGAGAAGAUCAGUGACGGCCAUGGAAAGGAAAAGUCGCCGAAGUUUCCCUGCAUUCUCUGGGCAGGGAUGCUGGGUCUGUACCCGAACAGGGGCAGAACUGUCACGCAUAUUCAUUUAAUAUGCGUGGUGUGCUAUCUUCAGG